ACGGAAGGCAGCAGUGAGGAAUAUUGGUCAAUGGACGCAAGUCUGAACCAGCCAUGCCGCGUGCAGGAAUAAGGCCCUAUGGGUCGUAAACUGCUUUUGUGGUGGAGCAAUAAGUCGUACGUGUACGGCGAUGAGAGUACAUCACGAAUAAGCAUCGGCUAACUCCGUGCCAGCAGCCGCGGUAAUACGGAGGAUGCAAGCGUUAUCCGGAUUUAUUGGGUUUAAAGGGUGCGUAGGCGGGAUGUUAAGUCAGCGGUUAAAUAGUGUAGCUCAACUAUACUUUGCCGUUGAAACUGGCGUUCUUGAGUGUAAACGAGGUAGGCGGAAUGUGACGUGUAGCGGUGAAAUGCUUAGAUAUGUCACAGAACCCCGAUUGCGAAGGCAGCUUACCAGGAUACAACUGACGCUGAGGCACGAAAGCGUGGGUAUCAAACAGGAUUAGAUACCCUGGUA
This 453-nucleotide ribosomal RNA is filed under the name uncultured Porphyromonadaceae bacterium. RNAcentral describes it as "partial 16S ribosomal RNA". It matches the Rfam family "Bacterial small subunit ribosomal RNA", at positions 341 to 792 of the family's 1533-position model. The record is from RNAcentral. Lineage: Bacteria; Pseudomonadati; Bacteroidota; Bacteroidia; Bacteroidales; Porphyromonadaceae.